GGAUUCACAACGGCGAUCGUGAGUUAUCAUCAAGUGACUGGGGUUCAAAUGGAGAUCGGCGUUCAUGAUUUAGCAAACAGGAGUGUUAUGAAGUUGUCGGGGUUCAAAUGCGGUGAUCAGGGAUCAUACGCGCGAAAAUAAUUGUUCGGGGUCCAAGAAAAAGUAAAAAAAAUCAAUCAAAGAAGUACCAGGUUCAAGAGAAAAAAAAUCAAAAAGUUUCGGGGUUCAAGAAAAGCAAAAAAUAUAAUAAUCCCCAGCGAAGCG
Molecule: long non-coding RNA, 264 nt
Filed under: Lathyrus oleraceus (garden pea)
Lineage: Eukaryota; Viridiplantae; Streptophyta; Magnoliopsida; Fabales; Fabaceae
Description: Pisum sativum (pea) long non-coding RNA (PSAT_LNC033251)
Source: RNAcentral